RNAcentral lists this ribosomal RNA (465 nucleotides) under Vreelandella stevensii. RNAcentral's name for it is "partial 16S ribosomal RNA". It matches the Rfam family "Bacterial small subunit ribosomal RNA", at positions 338 to 795 of the family's 1533-position model. The record is from RNAcentral. Lineage: Bacteria; Pseudomonadati; Pseudomonadota; Gammaproteobacteria; Oceanospirillales; Halomonadaceae.
CCUACGGGAGGCAGCAGUGGGGAAUAUUGGACAAUGGGGGCAACCCUGAUCCAGCCAUGCCGCGUGUGUGAAGAAGGCCCUCGGGUUGUAAAGCACUUUCAGUGAGGAAGAACGCCUGGUGGUUAAUACCCAUCAGGAAAGACAUCACUCACAGAAGAAGCACCGGCUAACUCCGUGCCAGCAGCCGCGGUAAUACGGAGGGUGCGAGCGUUAAUCGGAAUUACUGGGCGUAAAGCGCGCGUAGGUGGCUUGAUAAGCCGGUUGUGAAAGCCCCGGGCUCAACCUGGGAACGGCAUCCGGAACUGUCAAGCUAGAGUGCAGGAGAGGAAGGUAGAAUUCCCGGUGUAGCGGUGAAAUGCGUAGAGAUCGGGAGGAAUACCAGUGGUGAAGGCGGCCUUCUGGACUGACACUGACACUGAGGUGCGAAAGCGUGGGUAGCAAACAGGAUUAGAUACCCUAGUAGUC